GAUGAACGCUGGCGGCGUGCCUAUACAUGCAAGUCGAGCGAACGGACGAGAAGCUUGCUUCUCUGAUGUUAGCGGCGGACGGGUGAGUAACACGUGGAUAACCUACCUAUAAGACUGGGAUAACUUCGGGAAACCGGAGCUAAUACCGGAUAAUAUUUUGAACCGCAUGGUUCAAAAGUGAAAGACGGUCUUGCUGUCACUUAUAGAUGGAUCCGCGCUGCAUUAGCUAGUUGGUAAGGUAACGGCUUACCAAGGCAACGAUGCAUAGCCGACCUGAGAGGGUGAUCGGCCACACUGGAACUGAGACACGGUCCAGACUCCUACGGGAGGCAGCAGUAGGGAAUCUUCCGCAAAGGGCGAAAGCCUGACGGAGCAACGCCGCGUGAGUGAUGAAGGUCUUCGGAUCGUAAAACUCUGUUAUUAGGGAAGAACAUAUGUGUAAGUAACUGUGCACAUCUUGACGGUACCUAAUCAGAAAGCCACGGCUAACUACGUG
Molecule: ribosomal RNA, 496 nt
Filed under: uncultured bacterium
Lineage: Bacteria
Description: partial 16S ribosomal RNA
Rfam family: Bacterial small subunit ribosomal RNA
Source: RNAcentral